GCGCGCGAGCUUUUGCUACGGGCGCUCGGCGCGGGCGGGCGGGCGGCUCCCGGCGUGGUGGUGGUCUCUGGAAGAAAUUUCGGCUUCAGUUUCAAGAGUGUUUGUCCGCGGUGUCUGGACGGUCUCCCGGUGCCGAGUCCCGUCCGGCGGCUGCACUGUUGACCCGAGAUUCCGGUCCGUGGUCCGAACUCCGGCCACCUCGGACCUAUAAACGGACUGACUCCGAACGGCUCACUGGCGGGACCGAGGAAGACGGUACCGGUACUCCAGUCUCCAGCACACCACCGAGCUCUCCACCAAAGAACUCUAGCUUAUCAGUGGGUGCGGCGACGCUCGAGACCAAUGACAUCUGGUCCGCCAGUCAGGAGACUGAACGGUGCGGCAGUGCAGUAUAGAGUGUGACUCCGGUACAGCUGACACCAGACGUCCGUCCAUCGACCAGUCACCACGGAACGGACCUCCACCGAACUCCGGAAUGUCCGACGGUCUCAUAUCUGGAAGAACAGUUCACCUCACAGAAGAGAUGGCGGCACUGCUUCAACACACCAACGCCUCAAACCAAAAGAUAGGUUCACCCGAGAACACUGGUUCACCGAUGGUGGCCCCGCUUCAGCACACCACCGGGACCCGCCACAGGAGUCGGCUUACCAGGCUGUUUGCACGCGAAGAACUUCAAACAAGGAGUGAAUCGGAGGACAGAAGAACCGGGUCGAGAUGUAUUGGGGAGGGGUUAAUCAGGGGGGGGGUAGGUGAGCCUGCCUUCUCCCCGGAUUACCCCCUCCCAUACCAUGUGUAGUGGGAGGGGUAAUCGGGGGGAGUAGGUGGGCUUACCUGCCCUCUCCCCUGAUUACUCCUCCCCUACCAUUCAUAGGGGGAGAUGGGUAAUCGGGGAGAGAGGCUUACCUGCCAUCUCCCCCGAUUGCUCCUCCUCUGUCCUGUGUAAGGGGAGAGGGGUAAUCGGCGGGGGGAGGCAGACUCAUCUGCCUCCUACCCCUGUUUUAUCCCCUCCCCUACCAUGUAUGGGGGAGAGGGAUUAUCGGGGAGGGAGGUGUUCCUGCCUCCACCGACUAUUCCUCUCCCUUUAUACAUGGUAGGGGAGGGGGUAAUCGGGGGGGGGCAGGUAAGUAUGCCUACCUUCUCUCCUGAUUAUCCCCUCCCGUAGUGGUAGUAGAGGGGGGGUUGUGUAGGUCAGUGUCCUUGACAGGGGGGAAGGGUGGUGUACUGUCCAAUGUGAUCACACAUGGCCAUAUCGUAAUAAUACACGUUGGAGCGGCUUCCUCUU
Long non-coding RNA from Amphibalanus amphitrite, 1282 nucleotides. RefSeq lists it as uncharacterized. Lineage: Eukaryota; Metazoa; Arthropoda; Thecostraca; Balanomorpha; Balanidae. The transcript is spliced from 8 exons. The record is from RefSeq and is a predicted model, not a curated record.